UUUAAGUGCAACCAUAAGUUUUUAUUUGAAAUUUUUUUUAUGAUUAGUAUUUUUAUUGUUAUUAGAUGAUAAAACAUGAAUAUCACUUUAUAUGUGUGACUUAUAUUUUUUUUAAAAAAAAUUCAAAUAAGACAGACAAUCAAAAUUAGGCAUGAAAAAUUAUGGUUACACUUAAA
This is a microRNA precursor of Oryza sativa Japonica Group (Japanese rice), 176 nucleotides long. It matches the Rfam family "MIR812 microRNA precursor family". The record is from Rfam. Lineage: Eukaryota; Viridiplantae; Streptophyta; Magnoliopsida; Poales; Poaceae.